AAUGCUUCUCUUGGGAAGAAAGUAAAAGACCCCGCAGCUACAAAGGCAGCUAAGGGUAGGGAGGCAUCGUAUUAUAGGGUGACAUGCAAGGAUAAUGGAAGAGGAAUGCCACAUGAUGAUAUCCCGAAUAUGUUUGGACGAGUUUUGUCUGGAACAAAGUAUGGAUUGAAACAGACACGUGGGAAAUUUGGUCUUGGUGCAAAGAUGGCAUUGAUUUGGU
RNAcentral lists this unclassified non-coding RNA (220 nucleotides) under Hevea brasiliensis (rubber tree). The record is from RNAcentral. Lineage: Eukaryota; Viridiplantae; Streptophyta; Magnoliopsida; Malpighiales; Euphorbiaceae.